AGCUCCAAUAGCGUAUAUUAAAGUUGUUGCGGUUAAAAAGCUCGUAGUUGGAUUUCUGUCGAGGACAACCGGUCCGCACUUUGUGCGUGUAUCUGGCUUGGCCUUGGCAUCCUCUUGGGGAACGUUGCUGCGAUUGAUUUCGUGGUACGGUAUUCAAGACUUUUACUUUGAGGAAAUUAGAGUGUUUACAGCAGGCAAACGCCUUGAAUACAUUAGCAUGGAAUAAUAAUAUAGGACCUUGGUUCUAUUUUGUUGGUUUCUAGAACUAAGGUAAUGAUUAAUAGGGACAAUUGGGGGCAUUCGUAUUAACUCGUCAGAGGUGAAAUUCUUGGAUUGAGUUACGACGAACUACUGCGAAAGCAUUUGCCAAGGAUGUUUUCA
Molecule: ribosomal RNA, 381 nt
Filed under: uncultured eukaryote
Lineage: Eukaryota
Description: SSU rRNA
Rfam family: Eukaryotic small subunit ribosomal RNA
Source: RNAcentral